UACGUAGGGUGCAAGCGUUAAUCGGAAUUACUGGGCGUAAAGCGUGCGCAGGCGGUUGGGCAAGAAAGAUGUGAAAUCCCCGGGCUUAACCUGGGAACUGCAUUUGUGACUGCACGGCUAGAGUGUGUCAGAGGGGGGUAGAAUUCCACGUGUAGCAGUGAAAUGCGUAGAGAUGUGGAGGAAUACCGAUGGCGAAGGCAGCCCCCUGGGAUAACACUGACGCUCAUGCACGAAAGCGUGGGGAGCAAACAGG
This 253-nucleotide ribosomal RNA is filed under the name uncultured bacterium. Its description in RNAcentral is "partial 16S ribosomal RNA". It matches the Rfam family "Bacterial small subunit ribosomal RNA", at positions 524 to 776 of the family's 1533-position model. The record is from RNAcentral.